GCCAGAGACCUACUAGCCUUAGCCUUUUGCUGUUUGCCCCCCUCUCUAUUUCUUUCCCCCAUCUUUUACCUUUGUAUUUCUUUCCCCUCUGCUCUCUUCUCUCGUUUGCUGUUGCUCUUGAUUUCUUUCUCAUCUCCUCUCUCUUCUACUGGCCAUUGCUUUUGAUUUCUUUCUCAUCUCGUCUCUCCUCUCAUUAGCGGUUGCUCUUGAUUGUGAAGCACAAACUUGUUGGCCAACCAUAGACUCUCCUCACCCCUUUUGAGUAUUGACUGGGAAGCACCAGCGUGAGCUCUGAGCUAUCGAACCAUCUCUAAACAGGCUAUUGAACCAUCUCCGAGCUAUUGCCUCUCUGUGAGCAAAUGGAAGCAAU
This 370-nucleotide unclassified non-coding RNA is filed under the name Hevea brasiliensis (rubber tree). Lineage: Eukaryota; Viridiplantae; Streptophyta; Magnoliopsida; Malpighiales; Euphorbiaceae. The record is from RNAcentral.